RNAcentral lists this ribosomal RNA (822 nucleotides) under Triticum aestivum (bread wheat). RNAcentral's name for it is "partial small subunit ribosomal RNA". The record is from RNAcentral. Lineage: Eukaryota; Viridiplantae; Streptophyta; Magnoliopsida; Poales; Poaceae.
AUGUAUCACCAACCGUUUCCUCCGUGCAAUGACUCCGCGCAUUCGUUCUACAUGACCCUCACUUGGUUAUGGGUUAUAUACCACUUCUCACUUUAUGCCCAUAUUACCUUGUUCACUUUGCAUGAUAUGCUCAUUUCUAUAUAUUUGCCAUGCAUUUGUUACCCAUGCUUUGCAUUACACAUGAUGAUCGAUUCUAGUACUUGUAUGUGUAUUUGCAAGCUUGGUGGAGAUAUUGCUUGUUCUUGCCAUGUUUAUUUGGUGAUCCAUUCCUCUAAUGAUACAUUGAUCUUGCUUUGUAAUCGUGCUUGUGAUAUGUCAUGUGCAUUGCAUAUGCCUAUUAUUUGCUCACAUGACAUGAUUGCCAUGAUUUCCUCUAGUAUGUUGCAUCUUUGCACUACUAGCCUACACGACUUGCUUCCUAUGAUUGCUUGCCUUGUCACAUCACCGAUGAUUCAUACUUGUUCUUUUAAUGCGGUUGAUAGCCACUAUUGCCAUGCUAUAUUCACUACACCCCAUGCACGUUACGUUUGGAUUGUCUUGCACUUGCCCCAUGUGUUUAGACAUUUCAUUUCAUUUGGUGUUGUUAAUGACUCUUAUGCCUACCAUAGACCGUUCAUUGAGAGUCUUAUGCAUGCUUGUUUCCAUGAUAUCCUUGAUUUUGCUCAAUUUAUGUGCUUACAUGACAUGUCACCAUCCCUUGUCACACCAUAUGCUAUGCUUGAUGAUGACACUUGUUUGGUGAAUAUCCACUUGAAUGCUUGGUUUUGCACUAACGCUAACCACAUUGUUUUUCCAAGUGUUUGUUAUACUUGCUCCUUUUGA